GACGAACGCUGGCGGCGUGCCUAAUACAUGCAAGUAGAACGCACAGUUUAUACCGUAGCUUGCUACACCAUAAACUGUGAGUUGCGAACGGGUGAGUAACGCGUAGGUAACCUGCCUGGUAGCGGGGGGUAACUAUUGGAAACGAUAGCUAAUACCGCAUAAUAUUGAUUAUUGCAUGAUAAUUGAUUGAAAGAUGCUAUUGCAUCACUACCAGAUGGACCUGCGUUGUAUUAGCUAGUAGGUGAGGUAACGGCUCACCUAGGCGACGAUACAUAGCCGACCUGGGAGGGUGAUCGGCCACACUGGGACCGGGACACGGCCCAGAACCCUACGGGAGGCAGCAGUAGGGAAUCUUCGGCAAUGGACGAAAGUCUGACCGAGCAACGCCGCGGGAGGGAAGAAGGGUUUCGGAUCGUAAAGCUCUGUUGUAAGAGAAGAACGGGUGUGAGAGUGGAAAGUUCACACUGUGACGGUAGCUUACCAGAAAGGGACGGCUAACUACGUG
RNAcentral lists this ribosomal RNA (505 nucleotides) under uncultured bacterium. RNAcentral's name for it is "partial 16S ribosomal RNA". It matches the Rfam family "Bacterial small subunit ribosomal RNA", at positions 28 to 507 of the family's 1533-position model. The record is from RNAcentral.